ACCAUUGUCCAAGAAGGACUUAAUCAAUGUGUCGGAGAGGCCAAUCAACAGUGUCACCCCUGGAUGAGGUUCUUGUAUACGGGGCCUCCACAUCCCCAAGUACAUAAUAUCCCAAAGCAAAAUGUGUGGCAUCGCAUUAUCCCCCAAGUACAUUAUCCCUCGCCUGGUGCUUAAUCUUUUGUUGUGUGGUUUUUCGUUUGUUUUGUUCUUUUGGCUUGUUUUUAGUUCUUUAGUUUGGUGUGUUUGUUCUGUUUGUUUGGUUGGGUUUGGCUCCCCUUUGGGCCUUU
This 287-nucleotide long non-coding RNA is filed under the name Prunus persica (peach). RNAcentral's name for it is "long non-coding RNA (PPER_LNC002709)". The record is from RNAcentral. Lineage: Eukaryota; Viridiplantae; Streptophyta; Magnoliopsida; Rosales; Rosaceae.